Long non-coding RNA from Coccinella septempunctata (seven-spotted ladybird), 505 nucleotides. RefSeq lists it as uncharacterized. The transcript is spliced from 2 exons. Lineage: Eukaryota; Metazoa; Arthropoda; Insecta; Coleoptera; Coccinellidae. The record is from RefSeq and is a predicted model, not a curated record.
AAGACAUAGUAGUGGUCUCGAAAAGGUUAGCCCAGCUUACUGGAAUCGCAACACAUAUCAGAAACCAAUUGAACUUUCCGAAACUAGUGGCAGAAACAGCUGUCUCGAAAUCUGCAGGCUUUUGUUCUGAAAAUGCAAGACUGCGGGGCAGACUGACCAGUUCAUAUUCGAUUUGCUGACACCUGACAGGCCCACUCGUCGUAAAUCAGCCCCACAAACAACUGAAAAGAUUCCGGAAAGAAAACAUAGGCAAGACAAUGCUUCUGAUGAGGAUUAUUCGUCUGAGGAACUGACAGCGAGGUAUCAAUUGAAGAAACAAAUUGAAGAAACGAAGGGGGAACUUGAAAUUUUGAGAGGCAUGCUGGUCGAUAAAAAAAUCUUGCUCAAAACUAUGGAACAAGUGCUCUAUCCAUCUGAUGCUGGUAAAGACUGGGAUGUGGAUUACUACUGAGAUUUAUCUCUAUUUUUCUUGUUAAAUCGAAUUAAUAAAAUGAAAUUAACUAAU